CUUUUAACAUGAUCCGACCCAGCUGCUUCCUUGAUUUUGUUUUGGAGUGAAUCUCCUCUGCGUCAUCCAGCACCAAGUUCAUAUAUUCAUCAAAGCCAAUGAUGCAGCCUUCUAUCCGCAUGUUCACCUGCUCAUAAAGCCACACCUGGAUCCUUGACCUGUUCUGCAGGUAGCGGAAGAUGAGGUUGAUGGGCUGCACCAUCACCUUCUGCACCUUCUGGCCCUGCCCGCGGUACGCCAUGGCUGCUCCCGACCCGCCGCCACCACACGCUCCCGCCGCCACACUCUCCACCGGAAGUCGCAGCGCGCACCGGAAGUCGCUCAGCAGGGCGGGAGCGCGCAGGGGACGCUGGGAUGCUGGAAGACAGCCUACGCGGCCGCUAUAGGAAGGCGGGAGGACCGCGUCUCUACUGCUCCCGCCGCGCACGUAUAGGUCGCACCACUGCUGUCCCGCACCGGAUUAAUUUAAUAACGCGGCUGAGAGCUGCUGGGGCGAGCGGAGGAAUCAGACUACGACUACGCGAAUACAAUAUGUUAAAUAGAAUACAAACAUGAAAUGGAAGCAAUAAAAUAUUUGCAGGAACAAAGGCAUACACAAAAUCCAGUCUCAACGGCGCGCCAGGCACCGUCACAGCCCCCCUACGCCCCGCGCUCUGCCAGCUGUCCCCCCCCCCG
This 675-nucleotide long non-coding RNA is filed under the name Gallus gallus (chicken). Lineage: Eukaryota; Metazoa; Chordata; Aves; Galliformes; Phasianidae. The record is from RNAcentral.